CCGGCGCACGGGUGAGUAACGCGUAUGCAACUUACCUAUCAGGAGGGGAUACCGGCGAAAGUCGGACUAAUACCGCAUGAAGCAGGGGUCCCGCAUGGGGAUAUUUGCUAAAGAUUCAUCGCUGAUAGAUAGGCAUGCGUUCCAUUAGGCAUUGGCGGGGUAACGGCCCACCAAACCGACGAUGGAUAGGGGUUCUGAGAGGAAGGUCCCCCACAUUGGUACUGAGACACGGACCAA
This 237-nucleotide ribosomal RNA is filed under the name uncultured bacterium. Its description in RNAcentral is "partial 16S ribosomal RNA". It matches the Rfam family "Bacterial small subunit ribosomal RNA", at positions 95 to 334 of the family's 1533-position model. The record is from RNAcentral.